AUGCCAGACUCCUACGGGAGGCAGCAGUGGGGAAUAUUGGGCAAUGGGCGCAAGCCUGACCCAGCAACGCCGCGUGAAGGAAGAAGGCUUUCGGGUUGUAAACUUCUUUUCUUGGGGACGAAGAAAGUGACGGUACCCAAGGAAUAAGCCACGGCUAACUACGUGCCAGCAGCCGCGGUAAUACGUAGGUGGCAAGCGUUAUCCGGAUUUAUUGGGUGUAAAGGGUGCGCAGGCGGAGGUGCAAGUCAGCGGUCAAAUUGCGGGGCUCAACCCCGUACUGCCGUUGAAACUGCAUCCCUUGAGUGCGCGAGAAGUAUGCGGAAUGCGUGGUGUAGCGGUGAAAUGCAUAGAUAUCACGCAGAACUCCGAUUGCGAAGGCAGCAUACCGGCGCUCAACUGACGCUCAUGCACGAAAGUGUGGGUAUCGAACAGGAUUAGAUACCCCGGUA
RNAcentral lists this ribosomal RNA (449 nucleotides) under uncultured bacterium. Its description in RNAcentral is "bacterial SSU rRNA". It matches the Rfam family "Bacterial small subunit ribosomal RNA", at positions 328 to 792 of the family's 1533-position model. The record is from RNAcentral.